Long non-coding RNA from Labrus mixtus (cuckoo wrasse), 1437 nucleotides. RefSeq lists it as uncharacterized. Lineage: Eukaryota; Metazoa; Chordata; Actinopteri; Labriformes; Labridae. The transcript is spliced from 2 exons. The record is from RefSeq and is a predicted model, not a curated record.
ACCUCAGCUACUAUAUCAACUAGUGAAAAGAAAAGUUAGGAAAAAGAGAAACACGGCCAUUCAGAGUGGACUUCCCUGCUGAAGGAUCCUUGAAAUAUGCAGCACUUCUGAGAGCCGGUUGAAUUAUUAACCUCAUCUCUUACCGUAGCCGUAGCUCGUGUCGCUGCUCCAGUCUUAGGAGCACGCUCUGAAAGGAGCACACACUCUCGGAGUGCAUUAACUCUUUAGCCACAUGACUAGCAUGAAUAGCACAGAAAGGACGGGUUGCACACACACACACACACACACACACACACACACACACACACACACACACACACACACACAGGAAAAAGAUAAGCAUCCACACAGUGUUUAUUUCAGUAACAUGUGGCAUAGAACGCACAGCUAGGACCCUCCUCCUCGCCCCGGCUCUGUCACAAAGCGAGCUGCUGAAGGCUGCAGCUGAAACCUCGCAGCUAUUUUGGCACAAAGUCAAAAGGCUGAUAAGCAUUUUUGGGUGAGACUUUGCUGCUUUUUUUUUUUCCUAGAGGAAAAACAGCUGCCACUGCCGGGUAGAGCACACUCAGGGAAAUGUUUGUGAGAAAACCCCACAGCAUGCGGAUCCGUCCUGCUUAAGAGCGAGCAGAUUUAAAUGAGAGGGAACAGUUAAUCGGGGGGGGGGGGGGGGGGGGGGGGAUCGUGAACAGGAUGGCUGUGUUUCCACCAUCUUAGAUUGUAUUGAUUAUUCUUUGCUUUAAACGUCUGUCUCCCUCACACACGCUAGCUCUCUUUCUCUCCCUCUCUGUCCCUCCCUCUCCUCUUUCUGCCACCUUCCCUACUCACCGAUCAGCAUUUGGCUUUUUCCAUUUGUGGCAGAUUACUGUAACGCUAUUGUACAACAACUUCCUGCCUCUUUUGGCUCUGCUUCUUAAAAAAAAAAAAAACGGCACAGGCAGAGCAUCGUGACUUGAACUUUUUUUCCAUCUCGGCCUUGUACUGCAGGAGCACUGAAGGACAGAAAAGGAGGAAGGGGAUAUGUAAAGCGUGUUUUCUGUUACUGAGGAACUAUUCUGAGUGCAUUUCUGCUCUAUAAAACUGCUGCGAUGUAAAGAGGGGACUACAUGCCUAGCAGAGACAAUGAAAGAAAGAAAAAAAAAAAAAAAAGAUUUGUAAAGAAGAAGAGGAGGAAAAGAGCAGGAGGAGAGUUUCUCCUGGGAUCAGACUGGAAAUUAUGGACCUAUUUGAUAUCAGAGCUCCGAGUGGACAACCUAUCCAAAGAGGGACGCGCCCUAACUGUAACUAACAACUACUUCUGGCAGCCCUUCAACAGCCAAACAUAUUGUGCUCCAUGAGAGCAGCUUUCUGCAUGGCAGCAUCGACCUGGAGCAACUCAGGAAAGAAACACAGAAUGAGGAUUAUAAUGCUAAUAAGAAUAAAUAAAUAUACAUAAAUACA